RNAcentral lists this ribosomal RNA (457 nucleotides) under uncultured soil bacterium. Its description in RNAcentral is "bacterial SSU rRNA". It matches the Rfam family "Bacterial small subunit ribosomal RNA", at positions 26 to 467 of the family's 1533-position model. The record is from RNAcentral.
AGAUUGAACGCUGGCGGCAGGCCUAACACAUGCAAGUCGAGCGGUAGAGAGGUGCUUGCAUCUCUUGAGAGCGGCGGACGGGUGAGUAAUGCCUAGGAAUCUGCCUAGUGGUGGGGGAUAACGUUCGGAAACGGACGCUAAUACCGCAUACGUCCUACGGGAGAAAGCGGGGGACCUUCGGGCCUCGCGCCAUUAGAUGAGCCUAGGUCGGAUUAGCUAGUUGGUGAGGUAAUGGCUCACCAAGGCGACGAUCCGUAACUGGUCUGAGAGGAUGAUCAGUCACACUGGAACUGAGACACGGUCCAGACCUCCGUACGGGAGGCAGCAGGUGGGGAAUAGUUGGAACAAGUGGGACGAAAGCUUAGACUCCAGCCCAGUCGCCGUCGGUGUGUAGAAAGUAAGGUUCUUCGGAUUAGUAAACGCUAACGUUUAAGGUGGGAAGGUAAGGUUUAGUAAC